RNAcentral lists this ribosomal RNA (547 nucleotides) under uncultured bacterium. RNAcentral's name for it is "bacterial SSU rRNA". It matches the Rfam family "Bacterial small subunit ribosomal RNA", at positions 777 to 1320 of the family's 1533-position model. The record is from RNAcentral.
AAUAGAUACCCAGGUAGUCCACGCCGUAAACGGUGUCUACUAGCCGUUGGGGGACUUGAUUCCUUAGUGGCGCAGCUAACGCGAUAAGUAGACCGCCUGGGGAGUACGGCCGCAAGGUUAAAACUCAAAUGAAUUGACGGGGGCCCGCACAAGCGGUGGAGCAUGUGGUUUAAUUCGAUGCAACGCGAAGAACCUUACCAGGUCUUGACAUCCUCGGAACUUUCUAGAGAUAGAUUGGUGCCUUCGGGAACCGAGUGACAGGUGCUGCAUGGCUGUCGUCAGCUCGUGUCGUGAGAUGUUGGGUUAAGUCCCGUAACGAGCGCAACCCUUGUCCUUUGUUGCCAUCAGGUUAUGCUGGGAACUCAAAGGAGACUGCCGGUGACAAACCGGAGGAAGGUGGGGACGACGGUCAAGUCAUCAUGGCCCUUACGACCUGGGCUACACACGUGCUACAAUGGCCGGUACAGAGGGCUGCUAAACCCGGCGAGGGGGCGCUAAUCCCAGAAAACCGGUCGUAGUCCGGAUUGAAGUCUGCAACUCGACUUCA